RNAcentral lists this ribosomal RNA (509 nucleotides) under uncultured bacterium. RNAcentral describes it as "partial 16S ribosomal RNA". The stretch from base 20 to 332 matches the Rfam family "Bacterial small subunit ribosomal RNA", at positions 47 to 358 of the family's 1533-position model. The record is from RNAcentral.
GACGAACGCUGGCGGCGUGCUUAACACAUGCAAGUCGAACGGAAAGGCCCUGCUUUUGUGGGGUGCUCGAGUGGCGAACGGGUGUGUAACACGUGAGUAACCUGCCCUUGACUUUGGGAUAACUUCAGGAAACUGGGGCUAAUACCGGAUAGGAGCUCCUGCUGCAUGGUGGGGGUUGGAAAGUUUCGGCGGUUGGGGAUGGACUCGCGGCUUAUCAGCUUGUCGGUGGGGUAGUGGCUUACCAAGGCUUUGACGGGUAGCCGGCCUGAGAGGGUGACCGGCGAGAUGAGGUAGGGGACGCGGGCCAGAGUGGGAGGAGGGGAGGGGGUGGGAAGGGUGGCACGGUGGGGGGGAGUCGGAGGCAGCACCGGGGGGGUGGGGAGGGCGGCUCUGGUGUGGUACGCCGCAUGGGCGGGUGGCGGGGGGGGGGAAGGGGUAAGGGGGAAGGAACCGCCGGGUAACCAGGGCGGAGCGGCCGCGGGAAGAGAGGGAAUAGCCGACGUCUGAAC